Molecule: long non-coding RNA, 5882 nt
Organism: Chrysemys picta bellii (western painted turtle)
Lineage: Eukaryota; Metazoa; Chordata; Testudines; Emydidae
Source: RefSeq, a predicted model, not a curated record
UUCGAUUCCGCGCUGGAGACUAGGUUGACUCGAGUAGGUUUCUCUAGUGGUUUGUUAAUGCAAAGCCGGACGUAAGAAACCUGACUUCUACAUCUGCGUAAUAACAAUAAUGAACAGCGCAGCGUUCUGUUUGUCAACAGAACCGAGCUGUCUGAUUAAAGAGCCAAGCUGCCCGCAAUCAACUGAUUGAGUUGUGGGAUUGGGUGUUUGGCUACCAUUUACAGCAUCUCGUCUGAGCCACUCUACCUUUUUGACCCAUGUAAACUCCUUUUUUGCAGCCUAUCUUCGAUCAAGCCGAUUCUGAUGGGGUUCGUGGGUGGUGGUUGUGGUUUUUUUUUUAACAUUCAUACUGGCCAGAUUUGGGGAGAGGCGGGGAAUCAGUUUUAAACAAUGAUUCCUUUGCUUCCGAAAUGAAGGCUACAUUUAUUUUCAAUCGCCUUUUAAACCUGCUGACCAAGUGCAUUUCCUUGCUCUAGAAGAGCUUGGAAGUCGUUCCUAGGCAUGACCAGAAAAUAUUCUGUUUAGAUCAUCUUACCAAAGGAAGAGAGGGGGUAAAAAAAAAACUCUGUAAGCCAAUUAUAUCAAAAUAUGCCUUCCACAGAAAGCUGUAUGCUGUUACUGUAAUCGCUCUCCGAGUAGUAUUUGGUAUGCUAGAUGGCAGGACAUGCUAGAUGGUUAAUAGAGACAAUUGAAAAAGCAGCCAUUGCAGGGAAAGCAGUUGGGUGUAUGUAAACACGGUACAGUUUGCUGCGGAUCAGAAUUAAGGUUUGUUUUUGUUUUUCAAACGCGGGAGGAACCAGCAGAGUGCAGGAUAAUCCGAGUCUGUCAAUGACUCUCACUGAAAAGCUGAACUUUAUUUUGGGGAGGGAAAAGGAACAGUUCAAUCCCAACUGACUCUCGGGUGAGGUAGCCUUGGAUCUUUUCCAGCCAGCUCCUCUCAGCAAGAAUAGAUGCAUCCUCCAUCCCCGGGUUUUGUUAUUGUUCAGUUUCCUAAUGGACUUAACAAGUCUUGGCUAAUUCAUUUCCUAACGGCCUGCAGCUGAGGACUGGAGAAGUCAGUACACUCGUAGAGGCGCAAGUAGUACCCCAGUCUCUGGGAUGGCUUCACCCACACCCUCCCCGAGUGGGUGCCUGCCCGUGGGCGAGUGCCCUGUCCUUACACGCGACCUGUGUGCCUGUCCCGGGGCAGCGGGGCCCCUGCCUACAGUGGGGGAGUCGCACGAGCCAGCGGACUGGAUCCGGUUCCCGUUGGAGCUGAUGGGAGUGUUGCCACGGAUCGCGGGGAGAGCAGGAUCGGGCUCCGAGCGGCUCUGUCUCCUUCCGCGGACAGCGGAGUCCUUCCUCUCCAGGCCCCGCACGUGCGCACCCCCAGACCCGCAGCGACCUUCGGCUCCAGCGUGGUUCUGAGUUCCCGCAGGACCAGCAGGGCGCUCCUUGGGACCAGGGCAACAUCCGGCAAAGUUGGGCGAAGUUAAGUCGCUCCUGCUGGAGAUCUUGCCUAGCUUAACCUUCUUGCCCCUGGCCUUGCGGUAAAGUUGCGCCGCAGAGGAAGGAACCGACGCCACUGAGAGCGGGAGGGCUGGGGAUGGGGAAAUCUGGUUUAAUGGGAAUUAAUUUGAAACCCAAAGUGCGAAUCUUUUUUGAGUUUACCAGAGAGUUGGCAGCAUCUCCGACUUGCUGUUUGACAUGCUUUUACCUGGCCAGCAGCGUGUUACUGAAGAGUGCUCUGUGUUCUAGGCGUGUUUCACACGGAACAGCGCUAUAAAAUACACCAACCACUCGCCUAAUCGGCCUGGGUCCUAUAGCAGAGUAUAAAACCGCAGCCCUUCUUCCAGCCAAACGGCUUUUCCCUCACCCUUAGCCUUAGCCAGACCCAUGGCUCUGGGAGAACAUGGGAACGCGCAAGCACAGAGGCAGUAAAGGGAAGCAUCUGAGAGCACGAUUCCUGGUAGAUUAUUACCAUGUUAACACCCUGUUUCUGCAGGCUAGGGGACGUGUUAACCCCCUUGACUUCCUCACAAUAGCCACCAACAGCAGCUCUGACACAACUGCCCCUUCCUCCAGCCCUACCCUAGCCCCAGGAAAGGUCCUCUUGAAAACUGCAACGCCCACUCAGAAACUGGCUUAGGGACCAUUCUGCUGGCCACAUUUCUGGGCACUCUUAGUUGGGUUGGAAUGAUGAGAUCGUUUUUUUCUGCACCAUGCCAGCACUAGGAACUGACUGCGUGAACGACUGAAAAUGCAUGGACUGGUCUCGAAUUUUAAAAUGUCAGGCUAUCGGUAUUAGGUUUUUAUUAUUAUUUAAAAAACUCUUAGCAUUUUAAAUUUGUUUGUAUCCUUGUUGUCAAAGAGACGUGAAGGAUUUGGGUGGACCUCUAUGCACGUGUUAGAUUCACCUGAACUUAUAAAGGUAGCACAAUUAACGAUGACAAUGAUACAGCAUCGUAAUGCGAUUUAGCUUUGAGGAAAAUGCCCUCUGCCAACGGUUGCUUUAAUAACACAAGUCGCCAGCAAACAUCUAUCGUAUGCCCAUUUCAUUGCGCCAGUCACCACACUUUGCAGGCGAGGCUCAAGAGUUGCAUUAUUGUGUCUCUAUUAUACUGAUUCUGUGACAACGCUGAGAUUUCCGAGCAAAAUCAGAGAGAUGCAGGUUGGAGAAAAGGUCAAGCUUUCCUAUCAAAGAAAUCAUCCAGUUUGAGAAAUCUGUCAGGGAACCCCCUCAAAAUAUUGAGUGAACUGCCUUCUAUUGACUGUAUUUAAAUAUACAUAUGUAUUUUUUAAAAUCACCCUGCAACCAGUCUUGAGAGAACCCUUCUUGUCAUUCCUAGUUUCUCAUCUACUCUGAGUUGAAACCAUUUACUUAAAUACUCUGCAGCAAAAAAAUAAAACCUCGUCUUAGAUAUCUGCAGCAAAUAGUUAAACCUAAUUUGUGUUUAUCAUAACAAAAAUACAGUCAAACUCGUAUGCAUACAGUAUAUACAUACAUUCAAGUAUGUGGCUGUAUAUACCAGCCUUAUGCAAAUAAUCAUGUUACCCUGUUUAUAAAUAUCACCGUUAUAAAGUAAGAUAUUUCAAAAGUCAUUGGUGGAUUUUUAGAUAUUAACCACUAAACACUGCGCCAACAGUCUGUGAAGAAGUUGACCCUAAAUAAGGUAUUUCAAUUUAAAGAGAUCACAUAAAAGUAACAUCUGAGUUGCAAAAUUGAGAGGUCAUCUCAACUUGUCAAAAUAUAUGAAUGCUGCUUUUCUUUUAAAAGAAAAAAGAAAAAUGCUCCUUUACUGCCCUUUAAUUAGAAAAAUAACAUUAUGCUGAAAUUUUAAGACGAGAACAAUUACAUUUAAGAUUUCAUACAGGAGAGGGAUAAGAGGGAAGCUCAGAAUUGUUUUUAUUAAAUUGACAAUCUACAAUCAUAGUUAAGACUUAACUAGGUAAAAAUAGGCGACAAACUGAAUAGCUGCAACCUAGAGGAAUUGGAUUAGUUCCCUUAGGAAUUUAUACAUCAAACGAAAACCCUAUUGAGAUUGCUAAUAGACCUAUUCAAAAUACGCCUUAUUAUAAGGAACUUGGUUUUUUAACAAACGAGGUUCCUAAACUUAUUCCCAAAGUAGUUUUUCAGAGGUAGAAAGAGCAUCUGGGAGAAAGGUGUAUAGAGUGACAAUUUAAAAAAAUCCAUCAUAAAUGACUAAGUACAAAAGAUUAAUUUUAGGAAUGCUUGUUUAACUGUAUAACCUGUUGUCUCUAAAGCACCGUUAUGUGGGAUUAUCCACUUUCCUAUUCCAAUGAGAACUUUGGACGUUUUAACGUAGAGUUCAACAAAAUAUCAUCUCGAUCUUUAAUAAAAGCGCUCGGAGAGAUAAGGUUUUAUAAAAUACUAAGCGAUUUAAAAAAAAAGAAAAGAAAAAAAAAGGCAAUAUGAUUCCACGAACUGAUGUCACUGUUCUGCAGUUCGUUUACCAGAACUAGCCAAACUUUCGCCUAAUUUAAACAAGGCAGGUGAGUUAAAUAAAUUUGAUUUAUUCUCAAUCUCCUCCCCAACACCCCAAAAGCAGCUCUGUAUAAUUUUUUCCCCAGUGUAAAUAAAUGAUCCGAUUGUGGAAUUCAAUUGUUUUUUUAAAAAAUCAUUUAUAAUUUAUAAAGUGACAAAAUAACAUACUAUUAUCCUAUGAAUAUUUGAUUAUGUACACUUUCAGCUUGAAACAAUUUUGACUUUAAACCAGAUUAUCGACAAAAAUGGUAUAGCAAGUGAACAUUUACUGUAUUUUUAAAACAUAAUAUACAAACUACUAUUUAAUAUCCCGUAAAAUGUAAAUAUGCAUGAAUAAACCUGUUACAGCUAAUAAAUAGCUCUGACAAAGUUGAAGCGAUUACAAAAUAAUUAUCUGGCUUGUAAAAAAACAAAAAAUAAUUUAAAAAAUAAAUGGGUGUUUCAGUACUCUUCUGUUUAAAUGGUACCAGAUAUAUCCCAGUCAAAUUAAUGUCAAUGAUAGGUUCGAAUACAACUGACACCCAGAAAAUCCGAUGUGAAUAGAGCAAAUUUGUUCCUAUAGCUUUGUGAUGUAACAGUUUUUGAACAUUAGAAAAUUUGCUCUGGAAUAAAACACACUGCUUAGUUAAUUGCAAAGGCAGGGAAAGUCAAGAUUUGAGAACCUGAAAUACCCGUGGGAGGUAGUUUGAAGUGCAGGCUUCAAUUAAUGUAGAAUAUCUAAUUUGACUAUAGAUUUCCUUUUUUACUUUGGUUUUAAAGUGAUAGAAAAACAGAUUUUUUAAAAUGGUUAAAAUUGCUGCUUUUUUUUAAAUUUACAAAAGAGAGAUGACAAAAUUCCUAAACUGGUAACAGAGCAUUAAACUUUCCUGGUCCAAUUUGUAUCUAAUAAAGCUGAAAUCUAUCUUCCUUUGUUUUCGAGUCGUAUAGUAUAGUGGAAGUGUGUAUUUGAAAGCUCCUUGAUUACGUUUUGAGUAUCUCUCUUCCCCCCACCCUUUUUUUUAGCACCAGUUUCAAAGUGGGUAGGUUUGAAAUUCAGGACAAGUGUGACCCCUACCUGUGAAUGUGGGGAAACAUUCCAAUCCGACCCUCAACCUCCGUUUAUAUAUGGUAAUCUCCGGACAGACAGAUUUACAAAUCCUAUCAAUGCUUGCAAUAUGCAGCGGCGAUGAAGCACUAAUUUAAUCAAAUUAACCAAAUAUAUCAAUGCAAAAUUCGGGGGAGAGGGAAUGAAUUGAGGGAGGGGGAAUCUUUCCCCUAGUGUAUAUCUUAAUGUGUAUUCCCCGGCUCUCUUCUUAAUAACUCUGCAGCACCUUUGAAAUAGUAAUAAGGGCUAAAUCUGGCAUAAAAUCGAACUCAUUAGCAAAGUUCACCAGCUGAUUACUUUGCAUAAAACACGACACUGAUUGGAAGUAAUUAGGUUAAAAGCUGGUACUGUACUUCGAUUUGGUGUUUCUAUUCUGUAUUUUUAUAUAUAUCCUUAUUUAAUCUCUUACUCAUAAAUACAUCUCGUCUUCAUUUUAUCUCCUAUAUCAUCCUUUCAUUCUUUGACUAUUUGCCCCCUCAAAUUAGCCUAAAUUACCACAACAAGUAGGCGCUCUUGUUAAACAUUCCCACAUUUAGACAUCUCUCACUUUGAAAAUCAGUUUCAGGUAUUUAAUGUUCUAAAUGAAAACCCACACUUAAACCAACCAGCAUUUAAAAAGUUAUUUUUGUCACCAGUUAUGUAUGUAUUUUCUCGGUGCAAAAACAAGUGUGUUUGAUUCGGUUAAAAUCUUCUUUUAAUUAAAAUAUUUGCAUUUAACAAUAGCGACUGCAGUUUUUUAUCUAGUAAGUAUAACCUAUUUCCUUUAUUAAUUUAUUAUACUUUAGCUCACACCCAAGGGGGAAAAAAUCAAUA